Molecule: long non-coding RNA, 1177 nt
Organism: Anas platyrhynchos (mallard)
Lineage: Eukaryota; Metazoa; Chordata; Aves; Anseriformes; Anatidae
Source: RefSeq, a predicted model, not a curated record
UGAGUGGGCCAGUUCUGCUCCUCCAGUAUUUAAACACCUCACCAGGUCCCUAGUUAGCAGCUUCCUUCAGCUCAUCCAAGAAGCUGACAAGUACUGUUAGAGGAGGCUGUACAUGUUGCUCUAAUGGACCUCAUUAAGUUCUACUUACAGAUGUUCUCUUAACAUAAUUGAUCUGCGAUGAAAACUUUAAGGAACAAUGAAGGAGAGAGGUACUGCUCUGAAACGGAUUGAAAUGUGGAGCUGCAGCGAGCUGUUUGCCAGAGAUUUGAAAGCUACAGUAGAAAAAGCCCAAGGCCAUCAGACAAACAAAAAAAGUUUGGGAGAGCGUGCAUCUUGAAACUAAUAACACCUCCUACCCCCUGUGGUGUGCUGGUCCCCUGUCUCUCCCCAUCCUUGCUUUCAGCUUGUGGUCCUGAAACUGCACACGGGGGUUUUGUGGCACACUUUAACCCCUUGCCAAGUAAGACACCACACCCACAAGCACCAUGUUCCUUGGCAGGGUCCCUGCAGCCAUUUUGUGGGGACCGUUUUCUCCUCUCAGUGUGCUGCAAAGAACUGCCUCUGAGGGCAGGCUGGUAAAGAGAUUUUGUUGCUAAAUGUUUUGUGCUACAUUGGAUAAGGAAGACAGGCAUGAAAACAGUGAUAUGUCCAGCAGAAGAGGCUGUCAGUUAAAAAAACACAGGCCCUUCCAAGGCGGCGAUGGGCCUCAUCUUUUAGCUUCAAGCGGGCCUGCUUGCAGGCACCGGGGCAGCAGCUCAGGCCUGGCUUGCUGGGCAACUUCAGCAAGGCCUUGUGGGGUGUCAGUGCUGCAGUCAGCACCUGCAUUGAUCUGGGGGUCCAGAUCUACCCUUCCUGAGGUGAGCAAUCCUCCCUCACAGACUGCUAACAGUGAGGUCAGUUGGACUGUUUGUCCAGGGGAGGAUUACUUGCACGAGUGAGGCUCGCAUGGCAGCAACAUUAAAUCAACACGGCAGCAGUAUUUCCUUGCUCUGGCUACUGAGCAAUGACUUUCACACACCUCUCACCCUCACACUUCCUCAGGAAAGGAACUUACUCACAGAAAUAAACGGUUGUGGAUGCAAGCUUUAUUGUUGUUAAAGAGUGCAUCCAUGUAAAACUAGCUUUUGUGCUUGUAACAGAUUGUAUGUACAGCACACUGAGUGAUAAAUAGUCAUGU